AUCAUUCAUCUGCUGCUCUGCUAGUAAGAAAGGAUCGUAAUCCCUGCCGCUGAAAGCACAAUUAGCGGUUCAAUGUCAUCCCUAUUCCACUAGAAAACGUUUCUUUUGGGAACAUAUCGUUUUUUUAAUUAUUAAUAGUUUUGUGAUUGAUGCAUUGAUUAUCCAAAUUGAAAUAUUAAUAUAAUUUCGCAGGAAAAUUUAUGAUACAGAAAAUAAUGAAAUUUACAUAUAGAGCUUACAUAAAACUAUGUAUCAAGAUUUCAAAAAGUUAUCCAUCGAUUUUCGUAAAUAGAUGUCUUCAACUCUACCAAUAUAUAAGAUUAAAAUGUUCAAGAAAACAUUUACUGUACAAAAGAUCUCAAAAAAGAAAGACAUCUUGCGUAGUAGAAUCAAUGCAAUUUCCUAUUUUAGAAAGCAAUCAACGAAUGCCAAGGUCAAUAAUGCGCCUGUGGAACGAUAACGAUAUGUACACAAAACAUCAGAAAAGCAUUUCAGCCUGGAAUAAACAUGCAAAGCAUGUUCUUUAACCAAUUUUCAAAGUAAAUCUUCGUAUAAUGUGAUAGUUAAACUCGUGUGGAGUCGCACAUGCGAUACAACAUACAUUAAAGAACGUGCCAAAAUUAAAUUUGCGGUUCGAACAAUUAACUAUAUCAUAAUAAGAAUUGGCUUAAAGCUAUCGUUUCGAUAAAAUGAGCUAACUUGAUGACAAUUCUGCGAGAAGUGAGAAAUUUGUCUUGACAAUGUUUGUUUAUCCUGCUGGGACUUACGUUCUACCGCUAAGUACGAGAUUAAAAUCCGGUCUCCUGCGCACAUAAUUGCUCCAUACGGGACGUAAUGGCAGUUUUAUAUUCCUAUAAUAUUGUACGUGUAUUACGAAACCUAAAUACAGUAUAAAAUUGAUGUUUUCAUUUCGUAACGGUGAAUGAAAAUUGAUAUUUUCAAUUUGUAAUAAAUUACGUUACAAAUGACAACAUCGAUAGCAUAUUAUUAAAUUGUUUAUCUACGAAAUAUAGAUUUAGAUAACAUUUCCAAUUCAACUUAAUAUUUAUUUUAAAGUAAAUUUAUAAAACUACCUUAAUAGGAGCGAAAUUGAUUACUGUCGUCGUAUCAUAAAGAUUUGUUCUACAAAGAACUAAUAAAUAUCCUGAAAAAUAAUCUAACAUGCCUAUUCCUACCUGUGACAUAUCAAGGAAGAGUUACUGGGAACAGAUGGGAGAAUGCGAAAUUUUGGGUUUCUCUUAAGAAACCUGCUCGCCUCCUGAUGCGGUGGAUCGAGAUUGAUCAAUCUAUUCUUCGAAGCUUUCGACGCCUUCUGCCAAUACGUUUGAUUAUCGAUUUUCUCCUUUUCGUUGCAGUUCUUUUUCAUUAUCAUAUGGCUUUUAAUCUCCGGCAAUAUU
RNAcentral lists this unclassified non-coding RNA (1397 nucleotides) under Bombus terrestris (buff-tailed bumblebee). Its description in RNAcentral is "misc RNA ENSBTSG00005022431.1". The record is from RNAcentral. Lineage: Eukaryota; Metazoa; Arthropoda; Insecta; Hymenoptera; Apidae.